This 290-nucleotide unclassified non-coding RNA is filed under the name Hevea brasiliensis (rubber tree). The record is from RNAcentral. Lineage: Eukaryota; Viridiplantae; Streptophyta; Magnoliopsida; Malpighiales; Euphorbiaceae.
AUCCAUUCAAAUCCCAUCACUAUGCGCUCCAAAUCCCUCCCAAAGUCCACCAAGUCCCCCAAUUUCUCGUUCACUGUUUUACAAACAGAGUAAAACGCUAGGCACGCGGCGGCAGGUGAAUCAAGUCCAAAUCUAGGCGCUACUGAUUCGUAAGACGCGCCGUGGGCGAGGCGGAAGAGGGUGGCUGCAAUGGCAGAAUCGGGAGGAAUGGAGGAGGGAAGGAAAGAGAGAAGGGAGGGUGAGAGAAGAGAAAGAAGACUUGUAAAGGUUUGCUUGGACAUGCGAAAAAU